GCCGUAGGGCGCGAGCGUUGUCCGGAUUUAUUGGGCGUAAAGAGCUCGUAGGCGGCUUGUCGCGUCGUCCGUGAAAACUUGGGGCUCAACCCCAAGCUUGCGGUCGAUACGGGCAGGCUAGAGUUCGGUAGGGGAGACUGGAAUUCCUGGUGUAGCGGUGAAAUGCGCAGAUAUCAGGAGGAACACCGGUGGCGAAGGCGGGUUGCUGGGCUGACACUGACGCUGAAGCGCGAAAGCUAGGGGAGCGAACGGG
RNAcentral lists this ribosomal RNA (253 nucleotides) under uncultured bacterium. RNAcentral's name for it is "partial 16S ribosomal RNA". It matches the Rfam family "Bacterial small subunit ribosomal RNA", at positions 524 to 776 of the family's 1533-position model. The record is from RNAcentral.